Molecule: ribosomal RNA, 253 nt
Filed under: uncultured bacterium
Lineage: Bacteria
Description: partial 16S ribosomal RNA
Rfam family: Bacterial small subunit ribosomal RNA
Source: RNAcentral
UACGGAGGAUGCAAGCGUUAUCCGGAAUGAUUGGGCGUAAAGCGUCCGCAGGUGGCAAUGUAAGUCUGCUGUUAAAGAGUCUAGCUCAACUAGAUAAAAGCAGUGGAAACUACAUAGCUAGAGUACGUUCGGGGCAGAGGGAAUUCCUGGUGUAGCGGUGAAAUGCGUAGAGAUCAGGAAGAACACCAGUGGCGAAGGCGGCAUCCUGGACCGGCAUUGACGCUGAGGCGCGAAAGCCAGGGGAGCAAACGGG